This 447-nucleotide long non-coding RNA is filed under the name Marmota monax (woodchuck). Lineage: Eukaryota; Metazoa; Chordata; Mammalia; Rodentia; Sciuridae. The record is from RNAcentral.
CACCAGAAAAGCAGGCUAGACAGGGAACAAUCACAGGGUAACUCUAUCUUUCCUCCACAGUGUGCUGUCCUUGUUUGAAACAAAAUUCUUGGCAGAUCCAAUGGCUUUUCUAAUCACUCCAAGAAAAUGAAUGAAUAGUUCUUUUAUUGGGCCUUAAAAAAUAUAUAAUCCAUUCUACAAAUUGCUCAACCCCAGUUCAGGUCAGAGUGACAUUAAAAACUCUGAAUCACAGUUGUUAGGAAUAUGCAAAUAGAAACCAUAAGAUAAUGCUACAUUACUGAAUGGAAUGAUUUAAAAGGACACUGACAAUAUCAAAUGCUGACAAGGAUGAGGAGCAACUGGAACUCUCUCAUACGUUGUUGGUGGGAAUGCAAAAUGGAAAUACUUCUUUGGAAAAUAGUCUGGUGGUUUCUUAAAAAGUUAAAUAUAUAUUUAUUAUGCAACUCA